RNAcentral lists this ribosomal RNA (504 nucleotides) under uncultured bacterium. RNAcentral describes it as "partial 16S ribosomal RNA". It matches the Rfam family "Bacterial small subunit ribosomal RNA", at positions 28 to 507 of the family's 1533-position model. The record is from RNAcentral.
GACGAACGCUGGCGGCGUGCUUAACACAUGCAAGUCGAACGGUGAAGCGCUUGCCUUUUUGGUGGGUGUGGAUGAGUGGCGAACGGGUGAGUAACACGUGAGUAACCUGCCCUCUUCUUCUGGAUAACCUCAUGAAAGUGGGGCUAAUACGGGGUAUUCCGGGUCUGUCGCAUGGCGGGUUUUGGAAAGAUUGCGCCUUUGGGUGUCUUCGGUGGGGGUUGGGCUCGCGGCCUAUCAGCUUGUUGGUGGGGUGAUGGCCUACCAAGGCGGUGACGGGUAGCCGGACUGAGAGGGUGGACGGCCACACUGGGACUGAGACACGGGCCAGACUCCGGCGGGAGGCAGCAGUGGGGUAUAUUGCACAAUGGGCGCAAGCCUGAUGCAGCGACGCCGCGUGAGGGAUGGAGGCCUUCGGGUUGUGAACCUCUUUCGCCAGUGAAGCAGGCCUGCUCCUGUGUGGGUGGGUUGACGGUAGCUGGAUAAGAAGCGCCGGCUAACUACGUG